GAUGAACGCUAGCGAUAGGCUUAACACAUGCAAGUCGAGGGGCAGCAUGGUCUUAGCUUGCUAAGACUGAUGGCGACCGGCGCACGGGUGCGUAACGCGUAUGCAACUUGCCUCACAGAGGGGGAUAACCCGUCGAAAGACGGACUAAUACCGCGUACACUUGGGAUAGGGCAUCCUGACCCAAGGAAAUGAAAUUCGCUGUGAGAUAGGCAUGCGUCCCAUUAGCUAGUUGGUGAGGUAACGGCUCACCAAGGCGACGAUGGGUAGGGGAACUGAGAGGUUGAACCCCCACACUGGUACUGAGACACGGACCAGAAUCCUACGGGAGGCAGCAGUGAGGAAUAUUGGUCAAUGGGCGAGAGCCUGAACCAGCCAAGUCGCGUGAAGGAUGACUGUCUUAUGGAUUGUAAACUUCUUUUAUACGGGAAUAACAAGAGCCACGUGUGGCUCCCUGCAUGUACCGUAUGAAUAAGCAUCGGCUAACUCCGUG
RNAcentral lists this ribosomal RNA (490 nucleotides) under uncultured bacterium. RNAcentral's name for it is "partial 16S ribosomal RNA". It matches the Rfam family "Bacterial small subunit ribosomal RNA", at positions 28 to 507 of the family's 1533-position model. The record is from RNAcentral.